This 253-nucleotide ribosomal RNA is filed under the name uncultured bacterium. Its description in RNAcentral is "partial 16S ribosomal RNA". It matches the Rfam family "Bacterial small subunit ribosomal RNA", at positions 524 to 776 of the family's 1533-position model. The record is from RNAcentral.
GACGUAGGGCGCGAGCGUUGUCCGGAUUUAUUGGGCGUAAAGAGCUCGUAGGCGGCUCAUUGCGUCAACCGUGAAAUCCUGCUGCUCAACGGCAGGUCUGCGGUUGAUACGGGUGGGCUGGAGUUCGGUAGGGGAGACUGGAAUUCCUGGUGUAGCGGUGAAAUGCGCAGAUAUCAGGAAGAACACCCGUGGCUAAGGCGGCUCUCUAGUACGGUACUGACGCUGAGACGCGAAAGCGUGGGGAGCGAACAGG